GCCCAAAGGUUCCCUCAGCCUGGUUGGUAAUCAGGUGGUGAGUGUAAGUGCACAAGGGGGCUUGACUGUGAGACUGACAGGUCGAGCAGGGACGAAAGUCGGGACUAGUGAUCUGACGGUGGCUUGUGGAUGCGCCGUCACUCAACGGAUAAAAGGUACCCCGGGGAUAACAGGCUGAUCUUGCCCGAGCGCUCAUAGCGACGGCAUGGUUUGGCACCUCGAUGUCGG
RNAcentral lists this ribosomal RNA (228 nucleotides) under Cutibacterium acnes. Its description in RNAcentral is "partial 23S ribosomal RNA". It matches the Rfam family "Bacterial large subunit ribosomal RNA", at positions 2308 to 2535 of the family's 2925-position model. Lineage: Bacteria; Bacillati; Actinomycetota; Actinomycetes; Propionibacteriales; Propionibacteriaceae. The record is from RNAcentral.